CAUUAUGUAUAUCCCCUUUAGAUGAGUUUGUAAGAGCCUAGCGUUUGUAGAAUGGAAGCUUAGUGUCGUUUUCGUACAUUCAACCAACCAACCAACCGACUUGGUGUGGGCAGUAGAAAUCUGAACUUCCAGAUCGGAAUGGCAGCUGUGAGCAGAUGUUAGGAAUUAAUUAGUGGGUGGGGUGGUAUAGCUUCUAGUCAGUCACCUGGUGUAUCUAAGAGGAGACUUCUCCAGGUGUGUGAUUGUUCAUAUCAAAAAACAACUGACUUUAUGUACUCAUUCAGUCUUCUCUCUUGCUGAGAAAUUGGCAGAGCUGUGAAGCUCUGAGUGGGACCAGAAAAGGAACUUGCUACUGUAUGAAUAUCAAGAGAGGAACAAACUACAUAUAUUUCAUAGGGUUGAGUGGGGGCUCUCACACACCUGAGAUACCCCGAGAAAACAGGCAAUGAAGACUCCUAUAAUUCUCCUCAGACAUUCUUUCAACCCAACCUCUGGGUGCACCCUUUUAGGGCCUUCAACUUAGCAGGUGGAAAACCCAAGACCUGGAGAGUCCCAAGAGAACAGGUCCAGCUGGUGGCCAAGGGGACGGGGAGCCCCCAUCGGCUGUGCAUUGCCUGGUGCCCUUUACAGUUUGCACGCUGUCCCUCCUGGCCGGGAUCGCAAGCUACAUCAUAGGUUGUGCGUGUAUUAUGUACAUUUUGACUAACAAGAAAAUAAAUAGCGUGUCUGAAAAAAUA
Molecule: non-coding RNA, 737 nt
Organism: Callorhinus ursinus (northern fur seal)
Lineage: Eukaryota; Metazoa; Chordata; Mammalia; Carnivora; Otariidae
Source: RefSeq, a predicted model, not a curated record